GCAGUUCAUCUUAUGUUGCCUUGCUUUUAGUUUGGUGGCUGUAAAAUGCAUAGCAUUAAUUUUGUUGCUUAAAUGAGCUCAUGUUAAAAGAUAAGAAUAAAAGCUUCUGUAUGAAGGUUGGUCAGUUUUUUUGUGAGGGUGUGCUUUUGAUUUUUUUCAAGAGAGCUGGAGAUAUUUGCUGACUUGAGGUAACGAUUUGGGAAUCCAUUCAAAAGCAGAUAAUUAGCCUUGAAGGAAGACUCCUGAAAAUAACGGAGUUGUUGUGGAAAUAUUUAUUAAAAGACAUAAACAGGUGAAUAAAAAGAAGAUACACUUCGUGAAUGGUCAUCAUAUGAUUUAAUAAGGUUUGCAAUUGCAAAGAUGAGCCACGGCAUGAUCAGAUCCGGAUCAAAGGACCGGACACACAGCAACUAACAGCAGAGAUACAGAAUAGGAGUUUUAACAUACGGGCGGAGCCCAUGAACGUCCAAUGAGGAAAUGACGGGUCCCAAAGCAGCUUAACUGAGAAGGACACGUACGAUGGUGCCUCCAAAAUCAGAAAAGAUGAAAUGAAAUUAUGACAGUUAUCAAAAAGACACAAAUAGAAAUGUCAAGACAGUAUGAUCUUAAUAAUCGGGCAGAAAGGUAUAAUUAUUUUCUAGCACAAUCCCCUCCUUUUGAUCAGUCAUUGAUCAACUAAAUUAAAGAGAAUAAUUAUAAACUGCCUCAACACAAAUGUCAAAGAAACGACGACAAAUGUAAUGUAAAACAAGGAAAUGGUGCAAAGGAUUGACGACCAAACUGAUACCAUUAAAAAUGUAAAUAUAACCAAAUCAUAAAAGAAAAAAUGAAACAACUUUUAAUAAAUC
Molecule: long non-coding RNA, 848 nt
Organism: Austrofundulus limnaeus
Lineage: Eukaryota; Metazoa; Chordata; Actinopteri; Cyprinodontiformes; Rivulidae
Exons: 2
Source: RefSeq, a predicted model, not a curated record